Homo sapiens (human) is the source of this 2135-nucleotide long non-coding RNA. Ensembl annotates it as long intergenic non-protein coding RNA 2987. NCBI's taxonomy places the organism in Eukaryota, Metazoa, Chordata, Mammalia, Primates, Hominidae. The record is from Ensembl.
GGGCGGGGAGAUCCCAGCUACUAGAGGACGCCCGUUCCAAUGGCAACUCUGCCAAGGCGCCUAUGAGAGCCUCUUGGCUUUUACCUGGUCUGCGAGAAAUCAAACUUUGGGCACAAGUCAUGAAGCCGACAAGCCCGGGAGACACAGUGUCAGAAUUACAAGGUGAGAUCAGCCGCCCGGCCAAGCUAUCUUCUCGCUAGCAGGAACACUACAAGGCCUGUUAGAGAAGAAAGGGUAGAAUCCCGAGAAUGUUUUCCCCACAGUGCUGAUAAGGAGAGACCACUAUCCCAUCUACUGCUACAGCUCUGGAGACAGAGCUCUCCCACCUGUCAUAUAGAACACAAGGACCAAUCUGCAGAGAAAGAGCAUCCAAACCUGAUCCAGUGGACACUGGGGAAAAACUCACCACAGCUGAGUGUGGAAAAACAAGGCCAACACACACAUCUCUGCACAGAUACAUCUCCCAUAAAGAAACUAAAGUGUUAAUUUACAGGGCACUGUUGCAGACCCACUUCAGCUGGAAGCUAGGAACAUGGACAAGGAGCCUCUCUACCACCAAGGGAGAGAGAGGAAUGUGCUCUUGUCCUGGCAUUGCAUCCACAGGAGGGGCAGGAAAUUCUUUGAAGGCUGUCUCAUGGGCCAAGAUGGCUGUAGGACCGUCAGCCUACACCAGCAACCAUGUGCAUUUCAAAGAUCAAGAAGGAGGAAAGAUGCAAGGUCAAAGUGGCUCACACAGCUGUGUCAGCCUCAUCUGAACAGUCUCCCCAAAGUCCCGUCAAUACUUCUGGUUACACCCAAUUGUCUUGAAUGUUUUCUAGUCAUUAUUAGCUUCAAUAGGGGUCAGGAACUAUAACCAUUGUGUAUGGUAAGUUGCUGUUUGAAUAAAACUGAAUCUCUGUCUUUAAGAAUGAAAGAAAAAUAAAAACUAUGGCAAUAACCAGUGCUCUUUUUCUGCACUAAAUUCAAAGAUAACAAGGAGAAAAUGGAGUUUGUCUCAGGUGAAGUGGCACUUAUUUUCCAAGCAAAGCCUCUUUUGGUGUUUAUUUAUUUUCAGAUCAGAUGGGAAAAAGUCUUGGUUCUGACAAGCACUCUUUUUAUGACCAAAGGUUAGUUAAGCUUAACUUAACUCUCUUCUUGACUUAGUCAACCUUGGCUUGUUGCCCUGCUCCUGGUCUGAGAAGCUUAUUUUCAGAAAUGCUGCUAAGAUUGCUUAGUAAAAAUCCACAUAUUUUUUACAUCUACUAAAAUCCUCAUUCCCCUUCCCUGAUAUUUAAGUCCUUAGCCUGCCUGUAAACAGAAUUCUGUUACAAAAAAAAAUUCCUCCUCCUUUGGUAUUUUAUCAAAUUUAUUUCAGUAAUUUUUUAUCCACUGAUUUAUUUGCUUAUUGAUUAUAAAUCCUGAGUUGUCUGUGUUCAGAGUUAUGAUCGAUUUCUGAACCGUAUUACAAUGGCCAUAACAUCUACUGCAAUAGUGUUAAAGUCUUUCUUCCGAAUUUUUAACAAAUGUCAUAAUUUUUUUAAUUUGACAGUUUCCCAACAGGAUGUUUGAGUAUAAAACCAGUUUUCAGUUCCUUCCCAAAAAUGAUGUCAACCACUGUGUAGUUGUAUCUGCCUGACCCUUGCGUGUCUAAAAAAGUAUGUUCUUAUUUAAAGGGGUGAGGGUGGAAGAUUAUAGAGCUAACAUUUUUCUAAAAUGCUGAGUCAUAAUUGAAACCAUACAAAUAAAAGAGGUAGAAUGCUUGGAUUCCAACAUUUUUAACCCUGAGGAUACUUCAAUGUCCAUGAUCCAUAUUACUGUGAAGAUAAUGCACAAAAAAGAAAACUGAUGAUUAAAAUUGAACAUGAUACAACGUAUCAUUGACUAAAAACUAACAUAAGAGAAAAAUAUUCUCAAAAACAUUUGGGUAUCCACAGUUUGACCCAGGAAAGUUGACUGGGUAGAUAUAAUGGUCCAUAUAGAAAAUUUAUAGAAGCAGAAUCUGUAAAUUAUGAUGUGAAAAAGUCAGAUAAUUUUUAUUUAAAUAUAGUGAUCAUGAUAACAAUAAUUCAGUUGAAUUAAAAAUUAGAACAGAUUAACUUGAAUUUGUUAUGUUCUAUAAAAUAUAAAUAAUGGAGUUAAAAUGUCAUAUAUGAGUU